RNAcentral lists this long non-coding RNA (204 nucleotides) under Elaeis guineensis (African oil palm). RNAcentral describes it as "long non-coding RNA (EGUI_LNC048598)". Lineage: Eukaryota; Viridiplantae; Streptophyta; Magnoliopsida; Arecales; Arecaceae. The record is from RNAcentral.
CAUCCCAUGGAAGAUAAGGAUAAGGAAAAGAUAGUUUCAGUUCAAUUUUCAAUGUUGGUUGAUCCUUAUCAUCAAUUCAAAUCAAAUUUAAAUUAAAUUUUAAUCCAAAUUUUUUUUUCAUCUUAUAAACUUAGAGAGGGGUUGACUAAAAUUAGAUUUAUAUAAAAAAUCUCAUACAAAAAUACUUAUAUGUGUGGAGAAAGG